Molecule: unclassified non-coding RNA, 571 nt
Filed under: Penicillium discolor
Lineage: Eukaryota; Fungi; Ascomycota; Eurotiomycetes; Eurotiales; Aspergillaceae
Description: sequence contains 18S rRNA gene, ITS1, 5.8S rRNA gene, ITS2, 28S rRNA gene
Rfam family: 5.8S ribosomal RNA (bases 200-352)
Source: RNAcentral
GUGAACCUGCGGAAGGAUCAUUACCGAGUGAGGGCCCUCUGGGUCCAACCUCCCACCCGUGUUUAUUUUACCUUGUUGCUUCGGCGGGCCCGCCUUAACUGGCCGCCGGGGGGCUCACGCCCCCGGGCCCGCGCCCGCCGAAGACACCCUCGAACUCUGUCUGAAGAUUGAAGUCUGAGUGAAAAUAUAAAUUAUUUAAAACUUUCAACAACGGAUCUCUUGGUUCCGGCAUCGAUGAAGAACGCAGCGAAAUGCGAUACGUAAUGUGAAUUGCAAAUUCAGUGAAUCAUCGAGUCUUUGAACGCACAUUGCGCCCCCUGGUAUUCCGGGGGGCAUGCCUGUCCGAGCGUCAUUGCUGCCCUCAAGCCCGGCUUGUGUGUUGGGCCCCGUCCUCCGAUUUCCGGGGGACGGGCCCGAAAGGCAGCGGCGGCACCGCGUCCGGUCCUCGAGCGUAUGGGGCUUUGUCACCCGCUCUGUAGGCCCGGCCGGCGCUUGCCGAUCAACCCAAAUUUUUAUCCAGGUUGACCUCGGAUCAGGUAGGGAUACCCGCUGAACUUAAGCAUAUCAAUAA